RNAcentral lists this ribosomal RNA (396 nucleotides) under uncultured bacterium. Its description in RNAcentral is "bacterial SSU rRNA". It matches the Rfam family "Bacterial small subunit ribosomal RNA", at positions 30 to 426 of the family's 1533-position model. The record is from RNAcentral.
AGUGAACGCUGGCGGCAGGCCUAACACAUGCAAGUCGAGCGGCAGCGCGGGGGCAACCCUGGCGGCGAGCGGCGGACGGGUGAGGAAUGCAUCGGAAUCUGCCUUGUUGUGGGGGAUAACGUAGGGAAACUUACGCUAAUACCGCAUGAGACCGUAAGGUGAAAGAGGGGGACCCGCGAGGGCCUCUCGCGACAAGAUGAGCCGAUGCCGGAUUAGCUAGUUGGUGGGGUAAAGGCCCACCAAGGCGACGAUCCGUAGCUGGUCUGAGAGGAUGAUCAGCCACACUGGAACUGAGACACGGUCCAGACUCCUACGGGAGGCAGCAGUGGGGAAUAUUGGACAAUGGGCGCAAGCCUGAUCCAGCCAUGCCGCGUGUGUGAAGAAGGCCUCGGUUGU